RNAcentral lists this unclassified non-coding RNA (19 nucleotides) under Mus musculus (house mouse). RNAcentral's name for it is "oocyte_clustered_small_RNA11730". The record is from RNAcentral. Lineage: Eukaryota; Metazoa; Chordata; Mammalia; Rodentia; Muridae.
UGUCAGGGUCUCAAUCUAG